Molecule: non-coding RNA, 667 nt
Organism: Paramuricea clavata
Lineage: Eukaryota; Metazoa; Cnidaria; Anthozoa; Malacalcyonacea; Plexauridae
Source: the annotation of a GenBank genome assembly
CUCGGGUGGAACUAAUUCAGGAAAAGACAAAGAGAAAUUCUGCUCCGCGCGCAAAAUUCCGCCUAGUGAGUAUAGUGGAAAACGGCCUUCAAAUACUCGGGAGUAAAAUUUACUCCAAAACUGGAGUUGUUCUGUACCUUUUCUAAUUUACUCCAAUUUAGGAGUCAACAUGACUAUAUUGGAGUAAAGAUAAGUCCUUAAUUAACCUCAAGUCAAAAGCAAGUGAAAAGAGUAUAUUAUCCCUAUUAGAGCAUAUUACAACAGGAAAUACGUACAAUUAACGUCGCUUCAGCAUAUAAUGACAUAUUUUUAGGCUCGAUAACACUUCUUUGACUGCAGUUCUAAGAUCGCAUUUUGAUCAGAAUGACAUGGCUAUAUAUGUGUAUAAGGCCACUAUUUGUUGUAUAUUAGUUUCUCAUCCCCGCCCGCAUGCUUUUUAAGAAAAUUGUCUUGUUCGCCAUUAUUGCCAUUAUUGCCAUUUUUGACCAUUAUUACAAAUUUUGUGAUGUCUUCAAAAUUAUAUUUGAAAGAAAGACAUGCAAUUAGAAAGUCUAGAAACGUUCCCAAACCAAAAGUUUUAGUUAAGAUACGAAAUUUCAUACCAAUUGCAAAACUGCCAGUUUCUCUCGCAUUUACGUAAAAGUUCUACCGAAAGCCAGGGGCAGGG